UACGUAGGGUGCAAGCGUUAUCCGGAAUUAUUGGGCGUAAAGAGCUCGUAGGCGGUUUGUCGCGUCUGCUGUGAAAACCCGAGGCUCAACCUCGGGCCUGCAGUGGGUACGGGCAGACUAGAGUGCGGUAGGGGAGAUUGGAAUUCCUGGUGUAGCGGUGGAAUGCGCAGAUAUCAGGAGGAACACCGAUGGCGAAGGCAGAUCUCUGGGUCGUAACUGACGCUGAGGAGCGAAAGCGUGGGGAGCAAACAGG
Molecule: ribosomal RNA, 253 nt
Filed under: uncultured bacterium
Lineage: Bacteria
Description: partial 16S ribosomal RNA
Rfam family: Bacterial small subunit ribosomal RNA
Source: RNAcentral